CACACAAUGCUCUGCAGAAAUACAAAGAGUACUGAAUCAGCUUGGAACACCACAAGACACGCAUGAAUUGCGGCAACAGUUACAACAGAAGCAACAAUAUACAAAUCAACUUGCCAAAGAGACUGACAAAUACAUUAAAGAGUUCAGAUCUCUGCCUUCAGUAAGCGAACAG
Long non-coding RNA from Sphaerodactylus townsendi, 172 nucleotides. RefSeq lists it as uncharacterized. The record is from RefSeq and is a predicted model, not a curated record. The transcript has 3 exons. NCBI's taxonomy places the organism in Eukaryota, Metazoa, Chordata, Lepidosauria, Squamata, Sphaerodactylidae.